UCGAGAAUUUUUCUCAAUGGGGGAAACCCUGAAGGAGCGACGCCGCGUGGAGGAUGAAGGUCUUCGGAUUGUAAACUCCUGUCAUUUGGGAACAAUUGUCACCGGUUAACUGCCGGGGGCUUGAUAGUACCAGAAGAGGAAGAGACGGCUAACUCUGUGCCAGCAGCCGCGGUAAUACAGAGGUCUCAAGCGUUGUUCGGAUUCAUUGGGCGUAAAGGGUGCGUAGGCGGCGAGGUAAGUCGGAUGUGAAAUCCCGGGGCUCAACCCCGGAACUGCAUUCGAUACUGCCUUGCUCGAGGACUCGAGAGGAGAUUGGAAUUCACGGUGUAGCAGUGAAAUGCGUAGAUAUCGUGAGGAAGACCAGUGGCGAAGGCGGAUCUCUGGAGAGUUCCUGACGCUGAGGCACGAAGGCCAGGGGAGCAAACGG
Molecule: ribosomal RNA, 427 nt
Filed under: uncultured bacterium
Lineage: Bacteria
Description: bacterial SSU rRNA
Rfam family: Bacterial small subunit ribosomal RNA
Source: RNAcentral